CUCUUUCAUUCACUUUCAUAUUUAAGCGAGUUUCGUAGAAAAGUCUGACGCCCCCCCCUCGAAUUGAAUUUUCAAAGAUCCAUUCUAAAUCGAAAUGGGAAAGCCUCCCCAUUCCUAUCUUUUUAGAAUCCCAAUUAUUCUCUUUUCAUUUCGGAAUUCUAAACAAGAGGGUAUUCCUGGUACUGAUUGAAUUCGGGAUUAAGUCUCUUAAGUAAGACUAGGUUAGAUUAAAAUAAAAAACAACAAAUUAGAAAGGAAACAAUGACUUAAUCUGGGCCCUUUUGUCUUUGUAUCUAUACAAAAUAGUCUAGCAUUCCGUAAAAUGGGAUCUUUUUUUUUUUUUAUUUAUUUAGGAUUCCCACAGAAAGAAUUCGGGGUGGGAGUAGGUAAGAGUUAGUGAGCAAUGAAAGAUACCGAUUUGAAUAUCGGUGUCGGUCCAAAUUUCAUUAACCAAUAAUCCCGCUCUAUAUGGAAUGGAGGCUCUUUGAUUCUAACCCAAAUUUUGCGGUCUUGGUCUUUUUUUAAUGAAUAAUUGUAAAUCUCUGGAAUAACAAUUGAGACGGGGGUUAUUCAUAUAGUCUAUUUACUUGAAUUUUAUACUAUUUACUUUAUUUUCUAUUUUAUUUAUUUUAUUUUGAAUUUGGGGAAAGAUUAUUGAAUCUG
Molecule: long non-coding RNA, 663 nt
Filed under: Citrus maxima (pomelo)
Lineage: Eukaryota; Viridiplantae; Streptophyta; Magnoliopsida; Sapindales; Rutaceae
Description: long non-coding RNA (CMAX_LNC004298)
Source: RNAcentral